This is a long non-coding RNA of Girardinichthys multiradiatus, 658 nucleotides long. RefSeq lists it as uncharacterized. The record is from RefSeq and is a predicted model, not a curated record. Lineage: Eukaryota; Metazoa; Chordata; Actinopteri; Cyprinodontiformes; Goodeidae. The transcript has 2 exons.
UGAGCAGAAACACAGAGAAGUCCAGGGAAGUAAUGGAAUCUAACUGAAAAUUAUCUCUAGAUGUCGGGACUGGGGAACACUGUCUGGUGUGUGUGUGUGUGUGAGUGUGUGUGUGUGUGUGUGUGUGUGCUUAGUCCCUAGAAGGUGCUGGAGACCUUGGUGGAGGUGACAGGUGUUUCCUAUCUUCGGUGAUGAGCCCUGGUGUAUUUAAACAGGAGGCAGCCAGCAUUUCAUCGCUCGAGUGUUAGCCUUCUGUGACCGGUGACUAUCUGGAUGUUACCCAGGCUGACCCGACAGACUGCUUCCCUAAGCUUACUCGGUUUCAGACUGUUGAAGAACCUGAGCUUCUCAGAUGCUUCGCUGCUACUGAUCUACUGGAUCACUCCUGCUGGCUGCCUCCAGGCAACUCUUGCCUCACACCGAUUCCGCAGAACCUGUCCACCCUCCACCGUUCUCAAGCAACCCAGCCCCGGCAUUGUUCGACCAGGGACCAUUGCCCACUCUGUGUACUAGGUGCUCUCGUACUUACCACACGGUGCUCCUCAUUAUGGUCAGCCCGAGUCCCUCUCCUCCUGGCGGAGUUCACACCCGGCCUACCGCUGCUGCGUACCAGAGCCACCCUGUAUUCCUGAACACAAUAAAACGUAUUACAAACUUU